GCGGCGACCACGGUGGCG
Molecule: unclassified non-coding RNA, 18 nt
Filed under: Chlamydomonas reinhardtii
Lineage: Eukaryota; Viridiplantae; Chlorophyta; Chlorophyceae; Chlamydomonadales; Chlamydomonadaceae
Description: small RNA Cre_1754
Source: RNAcentral